RNAcentral lists this long non-coding RNA (690 nucleotides) under Homo sapiens (human). Its description in RNAcentral is "non-protein coding lnc-LNPK-4:1". Lineage: Eukaryota; Metazoa; Chordata; Mammalia; Primates; Hominidae. The record is from RNAcentral.
UUAAAUAGUCACCAAUUGGUACCAAUAGCUCUGUAAUAAUUUGUUCUCAUUUCAGUUUCCCAAACUGAAGAGCUCUUCCUCGGUCCUUUCUUAUCUAGAACCCAUAAGUUCAAGAGAUUCAGAGAAUUUUCUAUUAGUGCUGUGAUCUUUGCCAGCCGUAGUUUAGUCUACAAUUUGAUCUAUUCUGGGGUGUAAGUACUUGUUAAUGGGUUUUGAAGGCCAGAAUAAUAAAUAAUGCUUAGGAAUCUUUUAUAACAGGCCUGGAAUAGAUUUUUAAAGCAAACUGAGGUAGAUUUUCAACAUGUGUAUAAGGUACAUAUAUUCUGUUCUGGCAGAAACCAGAACAGUUCUGGUGGAAAAUUUUCUUUUUUCAUUCAAUAAAUAAUUAGAUAUGCAAAAUAUGUGAUGUUUAAACAUGUUUACCCUAAUGGGAUAGUCUUUAACCAAAGGGAUGGAUAUUUUAUUUUAUUUAUUUUUUUCGUCAAAAAGCAGAUAAAUGCCUUUCUUGAGUUUCUGAUCCUGAAAACAGCUUGCUAUAGGUCCUUAAGGCAAAUGCCAGGAGUCAAAGAAACUGUAGAACAGUAAUAAGACCUCUGCAGAGCAUGCUCAGCUCGAUGUCACAUUCCAGAAUAGCCACUGUUGGUUUCUUUUUCAAAAUCGUCCAUGUUUACAUGCUUCACAAAUAUCCCU